AUGGGGUUUGGGGUUACUGGGAGUGACUGGUUUGGGUUUUUUGUUACUGGUUUGGGGUUUCUCCUUACUGGGAUUUACUGGUUUGGCGUCAGGGCUUACUGGGAUGGACUGGGAGUGAGUUUGGGGUCACUGGGAUGGGGUUUGGGGUUACUGGGAGUUACUGGGAUGAACUGGGAUGGACUGGGACUUACUGGUCUGGGGUCAGGGCUUACUGGGGGGUUCCUAUACAGGUCUAUACUGGUCUGUACCUGUCUAUACUGGUCUAUACUGGUCUAUACUGGUCUAUACUGGUCCGAACUGGUGCAUUACCUGCAAUGGGCUCUGCAGACAAUCCUCGUACCCCCUGGCAUACAGCUCGUAGGCCGAGGGGUUUGGUUACUGGUUUGGGGUUUGUGUUACUGGGAGUUACUGGGAUGGGGUCAGGGCUUACUGGGAGUUACUGGGAUGGACUGGGAUGAACUGGGAUGGACUGGGAUGAACUGGGAGUUACUGGUUUGGGGUUUUUUGUUACUGGGAGUUACUGGUUUGGGGUNAAAAUUCACCCCAAAAUUCCAAAAAUUUCCCAAAAAUUUCCUAAAAAUUCACCCCAAAAUUCCCGGAAUUCGCCCCAAAAUCCGCAAUGGAAAUUCCCAAAAAUUCACCCAGAAAUUCCCCAAAUUUCAGCCAAAGUUCCCCAAAAAAAUUCCCAAAAAAUCACCCAAAAUUCCCCAAAAAUUUCCAAAAAUUUACAUAAAAUUCCCCAAACAAUUCCCAAAAUCUUCACCCAGAAAUUCACAAAACUUCACCCAAAAAUUCACCCAAAAUUUCACCCAAAAUUCCAAAAAAAAUUCCCAAAAAUUCACCCCAAAAUUCACUCAAAAAUUCCCAAAAAGUUCCCAAAAAUUCACCCAAAUUUCACCAAAAAUUUACCCAGAAAUUCCGAAAAAUUCACCCAGAAAUUCCAUAAAAUUCACCCAAAAAAUUCAAAAAAAAAUUCACCCAAAAUUCCCCCAAAAAAAUACCCAAAAAUUCCCCCAAAAUUCCCAAAAAAAAUUCCCAAAAAUUCACCCCAAAAUCCCCGGAAUUUGCCCCAAAAUCCAGAAUGGAAAUGGGAAAGAUUCACCCAAAACUUACCCAGAAAUUCCCAAAAUUUCACCCAAAAAUUCCCCCAAAAAUUCCCAAAAAUUCACCAGGAAUUCACCCAAAAAUCCCCAAAACAUUCCCCAAAAUUCACCCAAAAGAUCCCAAAAAAUUCCCCCAAAAUUCCCCAGAAAAUUCCCAAAAAUUCACCCGGAAAUUCCCCAAAAUUCCCCCAAAAUUGAACAAAUUCCCCCAAAAUGA
Molecule: long non-coding RNA, 1320 nt
Filed under: Zonotrichia albicollis (white-throated sparrow)
Lineage: Eukaryota; Metazoa; Chordata; Aves; Passeriformes; Passerellidae
Description: lncRNA (ENSZALG00000001816.1)
Source: RNAcentral